RNAcentral lists this ribosomal RNA (522 nucleotides) under Salmonella enterica subsp. enterica serovar Infantis. RNAcentral's name for it is "bacterial SSU rRNA". It matches the Rfam family "Bacterial small subunit ribosomal RNA", at positions 993 to 1515 of the family's 1533-position model. Lineage: Bacteria; Pseudomonadati; Pseudomonadota; Gammaproteobacteria; Enterobacterales; Enterobacteriaceae. RNAcentral also lists the same sequence under 14 other names. The record is from RNAcentral.
GAACUUUCCAGAGAUGGAUUGGUGCCUUCGGGAACUGUGAGACAGGUGCUGCAUGGCUGUCGUCAGCUCGUGUUGUGAAAUGUUGGGUUAAGUCCCGCAACGAGCGCAACCCUUAUCCUUUGUUGCCAGCGAUUAGGUCGGGAACUCAAAGGAGACUGCCAGUGAUAAACUGGAGGAAGGUGGGGAUGACGUCAAGUCAUCAUGGCCCUUACGACCAGGGCUACACACGUGCUACAAUGGCGCAUACAAAGAGAAGCGACCUCGCGAGAGCAAGCGGACCUCAUAAAGUGCGUCGUAGUCCGGAUUGGAGUCUGCAACUCGACUCCAUGAAGUCGGAAUCGCUAGUAAUCGUGGAUCAGAAUGCCACGGUGAAUACGUUCCCGGGCCUUGUACACACCGCCCGUCACACCAUGGGAGUGGGUUGCAAAAGAAGUAGGUAGCUUAACCUUCGGGAGGGCGCUUACCACUUUGUGAUUCAUGACUGGGGUGAAGUCGUAACAAGGUAACCGUAGGGGAACCUGC